UUCCGGUUGAUCCUGCCAGAGGUCACUGCUAUCAGUGUUCGACUAAGCCAUGCAAGUCAAAUGUUCUUCGUGAACAUGGCGGACUGCUCAGUAACACGUGGAUAACCUGCCCUUAGGAUUGGCAUAACACCGGGAAACUGGUGAUAAUACCGAAUAGACCAUUUAUGCUGGAAUGCUUUUUGGUUCAAAGGCUUCGGCUGCCUAAGGAUGGAUCUGCGGCCUGUCAGGUAGUAGUGGGUGUAAUGUACCUACUAGCCUACGACGGGUACGGGUUGUGAGAGCAAGAGCCCGGAGAUGGAUUCUGAGACAUGAAUCCAGGCCCUACGGGGCGCAGCAGGCGCGAAAACUUUACAAUGCGGGAAACCGCGAUAAGGGAACCCCGAGUGCCAGUACUAAGUGCUGGCUGUCUGGAUGAAUAGAUAUCAUUUAAUAGCAAGGGCCGGGCAAGACCGGUGCCAGCCGCCGCGGUAACACCGGCGGCCCGAGUGGUAACCGAUAUUAUUGGGUCUAAAGGGUCCGUAGCCUGUUUAAUAAGUCCUUUGGGAAAUCUGGCAGCUUAACUGUCAGGCUGCUAAAGGAUACUGUUAAACUUGGGACCGGUAGACGUAGGGGGUACUCCAGGGGUAGGAGUGAAAUCUUGUAAUCCCUGGGGGACCAUCUGUGGCGAAGGCGCCCUACGAGAACGGGUCCGACGGUGAGGGACGAAAGCUAGGGGAGCAAACCGGAUUAGAUACCCGGGUAGUCCUAGCUGUAAACGAUGCUCGCUAGGUGUCAGGCACGGUGCGUCCGUGUCUGGUGCCGCAGGGAAGCCGUUAAGCGAGCCACCUGGGGAGUACGGUCGCAAGGCUGAAACUUAAAGGAAUUGGCGG
Molecule: ribosomal RNA, 869 nt
Filed under: uncultured archaeon
Lineage: Archaea
Description: bacterial SSU rRNA
Rfam family: Archaeal small subunit ribosomal RNA
Source: RNAcentral